GGAGGACUGUUGGCCCUCUGGAGUCGCCCAUUCGGGGGGAGGCUUCAAACCACCUCAUGCUGCGUUGGCUGAAGACCGUCGUGGUGAGCGAUGAGGAAAAGGCGCACUUGAUGCGUCAGGU
Micromonospora sp. CB01531 is the source of this 121-nucleotide non-coding RNA. The record is from Rfam. Lineage: Bacteria; Bacillati; Actinomycetota; Actinomycetes; Micromonosporales; Micromonosporaceae.